This 83-nucleotide microRNA precursor is filed under the name Mustela putorius furo (domestic ferret). Its description in RNAcentral is "miRNA (ENSMPUG00000022392.1)". The record is from RNAcentral. Lineage: Eukaryota; Metazoa; Chordata; Mammalia; Carnivora; Mustelidae.
UGGCAUAUAUAUAUAUAUAUAUAUAUAUAUAUGUGUGUGUGUGUGUGUGUGUGUGUAUGUAUACACACACACACACACACACA